GACGAACGCUGGCGGCGUGCUUAACACAUGCAAGUCGAACGGAAAGGCCCUGCUUUUGUGGGGUGCUCGAGUGGCGAACGGGUGAGUAACACGUGAGUAACCUGCCCUUGACUGUGGGAUAACUUCAGGAAACUGGGGCUAAUACCGGAUAGGAGCUCCUGCUGCAUGGGGGGGGUUGGAAAGUUUCGGCGGUUUGGGAUGGACGCGCGGCUUAUCAGCUUGUUGGGGGGGUAGUGGCAUACCAAGGCUUUGACGGGUAGCCGGCCUGAGAGGGUGAACAGCCACAAUGGGACUGAGAGACGGCGCAGACUCCUACGGGAGGCAGAGGUGGGGAGUAUUGCACAAUGGGCGGAAGCCUGAUGCAGCAACGCCGCGUGCGGGAUGACGGCCUUCGGGGUGUAAACCGCUUUCGCCUGUGACGAAGCGUGAGUGACGGUAAUGGGUAAAGAAGCACCGGCUAACUACGUG
RNAcentral lists this ribosomal RNA (468 nucleotides) under uncultured bacterium. RNAcentral's name for it is "partial 16S ribosomal RNA". It matches the Rfam family "Bacterial small subunit ribosomal RNA", at positions 28 to 507 of the family's 1533-position model. The record is from RNAcentral.